Molecule: ribosomal RNA, 158 nt
Filed under: Pestalotiopsis adusta
Lineage: Eukaryota; Fungi; Ascomycota; Sordariomycetes; Amphisphaeriales; Sporocadaceae
Description: 5.8S ribosomal RNA
Rfam family: 5.8S ribosomal RNA
About the family: 5.8S ribosomal RNA (5.8S rRNA) is a component of the large subunit of the eukaryotic ribosome. It is transcribed by RNA polymerase I as part of the 45S precursor that also contains 18S and 28S rRNA.
Source: RNAcentral
AAACUUUCAACAACGGAUCUCUUGGUUCUGGCAUCGAUGAAGAACGCAGCGAAAUGCGAUAAGUAAUGUGAAUUGCAGAAUUCAGUGAAUCAUCGAAUCUUUGAACGCACCAGUCGCCCAUUAGUAUUCUAGUGGGCAUGCCUGUUCGAGCGUCAUUU